CAGCAGCCGCGGUAAUACGUAGGCGGCAAGCGUUGUCCGGAAUUAUUGGGCGUAAAGGGAGCGCAGGUGGGACGGUAAGUCCGUCUUAAAAGGCAGGGGCUCAGCCCCUGUAAGGGAUGGAAACUAUCGAUCUUGAGUGCCGGAGAGGAAAGCGGAAUUCCCAGUGUAGCGGAGAAAUGCGUAGAUAUUGGGAAGAACACCAGUGGCGAAGGCGGCUUUCUGGACGGCAACUGACACUGAGGCUCGAAAGCCAGGGGAGCGAACGGGAUUAGAUACCCCAGUAGUCCCUGUCUCUUAUACA
This 301-nucleotide ribosomal RNA is filed under the name uncultured bacterium. RNAcentral describes it as "partial 16S ribosomal RNA". It matches the Rfam family "Bacterial small subunit ribosomal RNA", at positions 509 to 809 of the family's 1533-position model. The record is from RNAcentral.